Molecule: small nucleolar RNA, 73 nt
Filed under: Atractosteus spatula (alligator gar)
Lineage: Eukaryota; Metazoa; Chordata; Actinopteri; Semionotiformes; Lepisosteidae
Also listed under: 1 other name
Description: Small nucleolar RNA SNORD50
Rfam family: Small nucleolar RNA SNORD50
About the family: U50 belongs to the C/D class of snoRNA which contain the C (UGAUGA) and D (CUGA) box motifs. Most of the members of the box C/D family function in directing site-specific 2'-O-methylation of substrate RNAs. U50 is an intronic snoRNA gene located on chromosome 6q15, at the breakpoint of chromosomal translocation t(3;6)(q27;q15).
Source: Rfam by way of RNAcentral
CAUUAAUGAUGAAUCUAUCCCGAACCUGACCUAGAACUGAUUGAUAAUUCUUUUCGGAUCUGACUGCUGAAAU